AGUGAACGCUGGCGGUAGGCCUAACACAUGCAAGUCGAACGGCAGCACAGUAAGAGCUUGCUCUUACGGGUGGCGAGUGGCGGACGGGUGAGGAAUAAAUCGGAAUCUACUUUUUCGUGGGGGAUAACGUAGGGAAACUUACGCUAAUACCGCAUACGACCUACGGGUGAAAGCAGGGGAUCUUCGGACCUUGCGCGAUUGAAUGAGCCGAUGUCGGAUUAGCUAGUUGGCGGGGUAAAGGCCCACCAAGGCGACGAUCCGUAGCUGGUCUGAGAGGAUGAUCAGCCACACUGGAACUGAGACACGGUCCAGACCCCUACGGGAGGCAGCAGUGGGGAAUAUUGGACAAUGGGCGCAAGCCUGAUCCAGCCAUACCGCGUGGGUGAAGAAGGCCUUCGGGUUGUAAAGCCCUUUUGUUGGGAAAGAAAAGCAGCAGGUUAAUACCCCGCUGUUCUGACGGUACCCAAAGAAUAAGCACCGGCUAACUUCGUG
Molecule: ribosomal RNA, 492 nt
Filed under: uncultured bacterium
Lineage: Bacteria
Description: partial 16S ribosomal RNA
Rfam family: Bacterial small subunit ribosomal RNA
Source: RNAcentral